GUAGGGUGCGAGCGUUAAUCGGAAUUACUGGGCGUAAAGCGUGCGCAGGCGGUUAUGUAAGACAGAUGUGAAAUCCCCGGGCUCAACCUGGGAACUGCAUUAGUGACUGCAUAGCUGGAGUACGGCAGAGGGGGAUGGAAUUCCGCGUGUAGCAGUGAAAUGCGUAGAUAUGCGGAGGAACACCGAUGGCGAAGGCAAUCCCCUGGGCCUGUACUGACGCUCAUGCACGAAAGCGUGGGGAGCAAACAGGAUUAGAUACCCUGGUAGUCCCACGCCCCUAAACGAUGUCAACUGGUUGUUGGGUCUUCACUGACUCAGUAACGAAGCUAACGCGUGAAGUUGACCGCCUGGGGAGUACGGCCGCAAGGUUG
RNAcentral lists this ribosomal RNA (371 nucleotides) under uncultured organism. RNAcentral's name for it is "partial 16S ribosomal RNA". It matches the Rfam family "Bacterial small subunit ribosomal RNA", at positions 527 to 896 of the family's 1533-position model. The record is from RNAcentral.